UAAUAUAUAUUAUUAUUAUUAUUUUAUUUAUUUUAAAGAUCCAAAUUCGGAUCCGGAUAUCCGCCGGAUAUUACAAUUUUUAGAAGGAUAUCCGACACCCGGAUAUCCGAGAACUCCGGAUCCGGAUAAGGAUAAUAAAAUUAUGGAUCCGUCAGAUAAGAAUCCGGAUCUUGAUACAUUAAAAUUGUCCGGAUAUCCGAUCCGUCCCAGGCCUACCUCUAUUGGUGUUAUUUGGAGAAACUUUAAUUAAAAACCAUUACAGAAAAAGAAUUUCAGAGAUGAUCACUGAAGCCCGAGAGACCACUCCGGCGAGAGGACCGCCGCCGUCAAUCAGACGCCUAGGAGAAAACGCAGUAGAUAAAAGCUAUGGCAAUAGAACAACCCAGAUUUUGUUCGAUAACUUUCAUUCUGCACAAAAAUUUUCACUUCUUCUUAUGAUAAAAUUUCAAUCUAAUUCUUCUUCUUCUUCUCAAUUGUUUUCAUUCUGAAAAGUGUUUUAGCUCCCAGUGGUGUCACCCCUUCAAAUUGGAGGUGAUCUCACUGAUUUUCUUGAGUGAAACUUGUGUAACCAGUAUUGUUGUUUGGAAACCCUUCAUGUUCAUGUGACAGACCAGCCCAUUCUUCUUAAUGCUACAGUGGGAGGUGUCACCAAGCUUGCAACCGAUGAGCUAUUGUCUCAGACAAAUCAACAGAGACAUGCAGCGUAAGGAUGAUAUAUGGGAUGGACCAAGACCACUUUACUUUAUCAGCCUUCUGAAUCUUUGAUAGAUGAGUUGUUUUCUCUAUAUAAACAUGUCUCUAGACUAUUGAUUGAUUUGGUCUUCUUCCUUUGUUAUUUCAGAACCUAAAUGUUCUUGUUUAAGAUUUUAGCAAAAAAAAAAUUUCUUGUUUGAUCAUUAA
Long non-coding RNA from Brassica napus (rape), 900 nucleotides. RefSeq lists it as uncharacterized. The transcript has 2 exons. The record is from RefSeq and is a predicted model, not a curated record. Lineage: Eukaryota; Viridiplantae; Streptophyta; Magnoliopsida; Brassicales; Brassicaceae.